Molecule: ribosomal RNA, 253 nt
Filed under: uncultured bacterium
Lineage: Bacteria
Description: partial 16S ribosomal RNA
Rfam family: Bacterial small subunit ribosomal RNA
Source: RNAcentral
UACGGAGGGUGCAAGCGUUAUCCGGAUUCACUGGGUUUAAAGGGUGCGUAGGCGGCCCUGUAAGUCAGUGCUGAAAUAUCCCAGCUUAACUGGGAGGGUGGCAUUGAUACUGCGGGGCUAGAGUACAGAUGAGGUAGGCGGAAUUGACGGUGUAGCGGUGAAAUGCUUAGAUAUCGUCAAGUACACCUAUAGCGAAGGCAGCUUACUAGGCUGUAACUGACGCUGAGGCACGAAAGUGUGGGGAUCAAACAGG